UACGCUCACGACUUUGCCCAACCCCUGCUCCAUCAGAGGAAAUUCAAAUCACCAGAGUUAAGAAGCCAAGCUGGCUUUCUGUGUGUCUUGCCAUCCACAAGGAGGGGGCCAGAAGAGGGGGGACACGGUGUUGAAACGAGGGUCCCCCAGGAUGUGUGAGGAGGAAGAGAGAGAAAGGAAGGACUAACACUCUAUCAGCAGAAAAAAAAACCCACAGUCGUGAACCUAGAGGAGAAGAAAUCUGAGAGGAACAACACGAAAUAAGACCAGAGCUGUGUAAUGUUCCUCAUUUGUUCCUUGAAAGAAGAAAAGAAAGAGGAGGAGGAAAGGAGGAGAAAGGGAGGGGGGUGAACCGAAGCACACCAUGUCCCAUCUACUGGCCAAGCUUGUGUGACGAGAAACACAGAGGAGAACAAAAGACCCAGAGCUCCAGCCAUUGUUGUGGUGGAACAGGAACUAGUGUGAGAGCAGAAACACCAGAAGAGCACUCGUCGUGGAAACGGAACGUUUGAGAAGAUACAUCAAGCUCCAAACGUUCCCCAACACAAGAAAAGAUCAACAGACACAAAGUUCUCAUAUCAUCACAUAUAGAUGAAUUUCUCCUGGUUUUAUUGAAAUGUAGUUGCAUAAAAAUGACCAGAAUCUCCAAAAUCUUUAAUCCAAAUUUCAGAAAUGUUGUGGAAAAUAACGAUAUGCUGGGACAUCUUCUCUAGGUUGAGCAGAUCUGUUCUAUAGAGGACACACAUGAUCUUCUACUGUUGCCAAGACAAUAUAAGUACAUUCUGUGUCUGAAGUGAUGUCCCUGAAAAAUUAUAUUCAACAUUUUGUAUAUUAGAUUUCAUGGAGAAAACAGGCCUGCACCAAUAAAAUAAAAACUAAAGAGUUGACCAUUAGCACCGCCGUUUCUCAGUUGUCUGGAGAUCUUUUUUUCUCUGUUGCAGCACACCCAACUUCCUGUUUUUAUUUAUUUUUUAAGUUUAAAUGUUAAAUGAUCAUCACCUUCAGGAACACUUCAGCUAAUGAGCAGCAGCUAUUUCUGUGUGACAGAUGCUGAAGACCGGGGUAAACAGAGGAAAUGAAAGUUGAAUCUGUGCAAAGUUUAGGUGAAGUGUGGCGGUAUCUCACACUGAUUGUUUCUAGUUACAACUCCAGCCCUUCUUUUCAUGAAAAACAACUUCCUGUCUGGGUCGUUUGUAAACCGCUCACUGCAGUUCCUGAGACAAUCAUGUACCUGGGCUGAGGACAGUGAGUUUAUCCUUCAGAUCCAUUCUUCUUUCACCAAAUGUGCUGGAUACUCCUAAAAUCCAGUUCAUAAGCUUAUAAGCCCCAGAUGUAACCAAACAGGCCCAGUUUUUCUCAUUUCAAAAUAAAAAAAGGAGGGUCAUGGCUACUGUUUACAGUCAGCGCUGGCAUUUGCAAUUUGACUACGGCUGGCCAAAAGCUCCAGUUAUUUAAAGAACCAAAACCAGUAGGAGCAACCCAGAAAUUAUUUCUUGUACUUCCAAGAAGCCACUGCAUCUUUUUUUACUCUAAUAUCGGGUAAAGAAGGCUAAAGGCUAACGUUGAGGUAGCAAUGCUAACU
Nothobranchius furzeri (turquoise killifish) is the source of this 1582-nucleotide long non-coding RNA. RefSeq lists it as uncharacterized. Lineage: Eukaryota; Metazoa; Chordata; Actinopteri; Cyprinodontiformes; Nothobranchiidae. The record is from RefSeq and is a predicted model, not a curated record.